CUCGGACAUUUCCGUACCAUCCGGGGGAGCUAGCGACAUUGGUAACACUGACGAUGCUCCUUUCCAGAUGGUAUCUCCGGUGACUAAUUCGCGCAUUCGCGGACAGUACUGGAUAGUGCGGAUUACGGCGAGUAGUGUUUCAACGUUUCGGGUGCAGUGCGUGAGAUGAUCUUUGAGUUACGAUAAUUGAGGAAUCCAGGGAGAGAAAUAGUAAUAAGUAUAAUUUAUAAAAAACUACAUCAUGACAGAAUACAAGCUUGUAGUAGUUGGAGCUGGAGGCGUUGGAAAAUCAGCACUUACCAUUCAGCUAAUACAAAAUCACUUUGUUGACGAAUAUGAUCCUACUAUAGAAGAUUCGUAUAGAAAACAAGUUGUGAUCGAUGGAGAAACGUGCCUUCUAGAUAUAUUAGACACAGCGGGACAAGAGGAAUACAGUGCAAUGAGAGAUCAGUAUAUGAGAACAGGAGAAGGAUUCUUAUUAGUGUUUGCCGUAAAUUCGGCUAAAAGUUUUGAAGAUAUAGGAACAUAUAGGGAACAAAUAAAACGAGUAAAAGAUGCGGAAGAAGUACCAAUGGUAUUAGUCGGAAAUAAGUGCGAUCUUCAGCAGUCCUGGGCGGUGAACAUGACUCAAGCGAGAGAAAUUGCGCGACAGUAUGGUGUGCCAUUUGUAGAAACUUCGGCGAAAACGAGGAUGGGUGUAGACGAUGCCUUUUAUACUUUGGUCAGAGAAAUACGGAAAGAUAAAGAACGCACGGGUAAACCGCCCGGCAGUUCCGGAGGCAAGAAACGUCGAUGCUAUAUUUUAUAAAUCCGUGGAUAACACCAAUAUACUUUCACUCGACUAUUACAAUGUAGAAAUAGUGAAUAUGAAAAGCCUUACAUUAUGUUCACAGUACACAAAUAUUUGCAGCUUACUCUAUAUAGAUACUAAUUGUAAAAAACAGAUUGCAGCACAAUUUUUUCUAUUGAGAAUCAUUGAGAAGGAAGAACAAAUUACCUAAUAGUACUGUACGAUAUUACAUACAUUUUUACUAACGGGCUUAUGUUUUUCACAUAAGACAUAUUUAUCAGGCAAUUCGUAAUAUUCCAUUCGAAUGAAGUGUCUUAACCCUUGAUUGAACGAAAUGACGAUACUACUAAUUCUCUUUGUUACAUACGUGAAUAUAAGUGGUUCAUUGCAGAACAAACAGGCCAAUGAUAAAACGUAAAACGUAUCACGCCCAAUACGCCAAGCAAAUGAGACUAUCGUUCGAAACAAAGUAUAAAAGCACCGAGUCAUGAAGAAAAUAUCACAAACUUAAUUCAUUAUGUGCUGUGAUUAAAUAUUCUUAAGUACAUCAGAUUAGUUAAGUGUUACUGUGAUUAAGCCUGCAAUUCUUUUCUUUAACUAAGAAUUUAUUUAGUAAUUGUAGGAGAAUGCACAAACAUAAGAUCCUACUUAAGGAACAUGAAUUGUUUUUCAUACGAUUUCCAAGUAAAUAUGGAUCAAAUAACGAGUAUUGUAUAUCCUCGUCAAAAUAAAAUUCGCGCACAUGCCGAUUGUUAAAUUUCGAGAGGAGAAUAUCGCUUUCUUGUAUUAAUUUCUCAUAUUUUAUCUAUAUAUAUUAUUAACCAAAGGCUUAAUAUCCAAUUAAUCACGUACAUUUUAAAAACGUAUAAUUCUAGAAAUAAUGGGAUUUAUUGCAAGAAAGCUAUAUUCCUGCUAGUGUAUGCCUAUAAAUUUACUUUACAGUUUAGCAAUAUAUGUAUGUAUACUUAAAACUGCUAUUUUCCUAAACUUUAAGGAGAACCGUAAGAUAGCCACGCUGCUUUAAUUGAAACAGUGGAACAAACUUGCGUUUCUGCUUUUAAGUAAUAAAAAAAUUUGCUAAUUAAUUCACCAUGAUAUAACGUACACACGUACACACCAUAGGUAAUAGAGUAAAUGUAUAUUAACCGUGAUUUAUUGCGAUAUACUCCUAGUUUAAUCGAUAAAAUUAUUAUAAACUACCAGCAUAAGUACAGUACUCAAGUUGAUUGAGUAUUUUUUUCCGACAAUAAAAUAAUUUCGAUACAAUGAAUUUAUUCUUCAAUCAAUAUACAAGGUUGACUAGAUUAUAUAAUAUGUUCAAGAAACAAUCAAGGGUUAAAUCCUUCACUAAACGAUGCAAUUGAUAAAACUUCCAUAUUUUCAUAUGCGCGUGUAACAUGUAAUAUUUUUAAUAUUGUUUUCAGGUAAUGAAAAACAAUUUCUGUAUCCGUAAACAUAUAGCAUGCAGAACAUAUAGAUAUCAUUACAUAAUUUAACACUACAUAAUGAAAUUGUAUAUAAAAUUUGUUAUAUGCAUUCACUCGUUGAAUGCUUGCCUAGAAAAUCGUUACGACUCAUCCAUGCGAUUUACUUUUAUAACAUUAAUUAAAAUCUUUAUAACUUCCUUGUAACGAUAUUUCAUCAUUAAUACGAAUCCUUAGAAAUAAACCAUUCAUGAAUAGUA
This 2474-nucleotide unclassified non-coding RNA is filed under the name Ooceraea biroi (clonal raider ant). RNAcentral's name for it is "gTPase HRas, transcript variant X1". The record is from RNAcentral. Lineage: Eukaryota; Metazoa; Arthropoda; Insecta; Hymenoptera; Formicidae.